RNAcentral lists this non-coding RNA (147 nucleotides) under Chlorocebus sabaeus (green monkey). Lineage: Eukaryota; Metazoa; Chordata; Mammalia; Primates; Cercopithecidae. The record is from Rfam by way of RNAcentral.
GCCGGGUGUGGUGGCGGGCGCCUGUAAUCCCAGCUACUUGGGAGGCUGAGGCAGAGAAUUGCUUGAACCCGGGAGGUGGAGGUUGCAGUGAGCCGAGAUCACGCCACUGCACUCCAGCCUGGGUGACAGAGUGAGACUUUGUCUCAA